Molecule: ribosomal RNA, 603 nt
Filed under: uncultured fungus
Lineage: Eukaryota; Fungi
Description: eukaryotic LSU rRNA
Rfam family: Eukaryotic large subunit ribosomal RNA
Source: RNAcentral
ACCCGCUGAACUUAAGCAUAUCAAUAAGCGGAGGAAAAGAAACCAACAGGGAUUGCCCUAGUAACGGCGAGUGAAGCGGCAACAGCUCAAAUUUGAAAUCUGGCUCUUUUAGAAUCCGAGUUGUAAUUUGCAGAGGGCGCUUUGGCUUUGGCAGCGGUCCAAGUUCCUUGGAACAGGACGUCACAGAGGGUGAGAAUCCCGUACGUGGUCGCUGGCUAUUGCCGUGUAAAGCCCCUUCGACGAGUCGAGUUGUUUGGGAAUGCAGCUCUAAAUGGGAGGUACAUUUCUUCUAAAGCUAAAUAUUGGCCAGAGACCGAUAGCGCACAAGUAGAGUGAUCGAAAGAUGAAAAGCACUUUGGAAAGAGAGUCAAACAGCACGUGAAAUUGUUGAAAGGGAAGCGCUUGCAGCCAGACUUGCUUACAGUUGCUCAUCCGGGCUUUUGCCCGGUGCACUCUUCUGUAGGCAGGCCAGCAUCAGUUUGGGCGGUAGGAUAAAGGUCUCUGUCACGUACCUCUCUUCGGGGAGGCCUUAUAGGGGAGACGACAUACUACCAGCCUGGACUGAGGUCCGCGCAUCUGCUAGGAUGCUGGCGUAAUGGCUGU